Molecule: long non-coding RNA, 790 nt
Organism: Athalia rosae (coleseed sawfly)
Lineage: Eukaryota; Metazoa; Arthropoda; Insecta; Hymenoptera; Athaliidae
Exons: 5
Source: RefSeq, a predicted model, not a curated record
UCCAUAUCGGUAUAAAUUUAUAUAUGCAUAUAACUUGACAAUAUAUAAAUGUAUACGUAUGUGUAUAGACAAAGAGAGGAGAACAGAUAUAGAGAAGUGAUAGAGCUGAAUAGAGCCCGGAGAGAAAAUACAUAGUAUAUAAGAGAACACAUUAAAAGCAGCAUAGUGUUUUUGCAUUUGUCAUGUGUUUGUAUGAUCUUUUUCGUGUAUACCCUGAUGUGAACAUGCUGUACAGUUCUCUAUUAUACAGCUCAGCUCUUCACAACUUAUGGCUUCUGUGAUAUCGCAUAAUAAUACUGGAUUGUUGUAUGUUUUUUAAAGGAGGAGGAGGUUCUCUAGGAGGAGGUGGUGGACCUCUUGCACCUGGACCUUGACCCUGUCCAGGAGCUCGUCUAUUUCCAGGGGGUUGUUGGCCUUGCCCUUGAUUUUGGCCCUGACCAGGAGCUUCGGCAUCAGGGUUCGGUGACAUCGUAGUUGGAUCAUAGUCAAACAAAGCGACAAACCAUCUUGUUCGCUUAUUAAUCUGUUGCGCCCCACCAGGAGCAUGAUGGGGCCCACCAGCACCUCCACUUUGGGCUUGACGUGCUCCGCGGCUACCCGGAUACAUUGGACCUCUUCCUCUUUGGUUCCCCACUGCAUAUGGAAAUACGACCUGCGGUGGAUCUACUGCCUCUGUGAGAGGGUCCCGAAGGCAUUCCAGCAGUAUUAUACCGAUGAUGACCGUGAUGAGGACCCAUAUUCCUAUCUCUUCUGGAUGGAUCUUCCUCCUCACUGUAGUUUGCCUCACUAG